GGGGUGACACCGCGUGGAGGUAGCGGGAGGCCCGGCGGGGCGGGGGCGGCGUGGACGCUCCGUGAGGAGUCUCCGUGAGGGGCUGCGGGUUCCUCACACCCCGGCACCGCCGAGAGGAAGGCUGGGGGAAGCUGUGAUGCACAUCUGUUUGACGAAGAAGGCAUCAGCUUUUCCUAGAGGGAAAAUAAUGAAAGGCAAAGCACAUUCAGAUUAUUUUGAAGUCCAGGAUUUUGUCAAGAAAAAGAAGAGGAAACACAAUGAUUCCAACAACAAACGCAAAAAUGCUGAAAUUGUGGAAGAUCCGGAGCUUGGCCAUGCAUCCCAAGUGCUCUUUGAAGAUUCAGCAGUGGAGGACAGGAAAAAGAAGAAACUGAAGAAAAAGGAUGAGAAGCAGCAGGCUUUGAUAGAGAAUUACUUUGGGACUGUGGAACAUGAAAUCAGCAAUGGGACUGGAACAGCUGAUUCGCCGAGGAAGAAGAGGAAGAGGAUGGGUCAGGACAGCGCUGAUGAGCUCAGCGAUGUCACCUGUGUUCCUGGGAAUCAGGACUGCCAGGAGGGUGCUGCUGAUUUUGCUCCUUCUAAAAAACCCAAGAAGAAAAAGAAAGAAAAGCAGCCUGAAGUGGAUGAGGUGUGUGAGCUGUCUCCCUCUGAGGAGCACAGCAAGGGCCACAAAGAGAAACCCAAAAAGAAGAAGAAGAGGAGAGAGGGCAGUGCCCAGGAUGUGCAGGAGGACACAGAUGGAGCAGCUGAGCAGCCGCCCUUAGAACAGGACAGGGGCUGGCCUUCAGAUGAGGAUGGAGGCUGUGAUGCUGCUUCUGCCAUCAGUGAGGUCUCUAUGGAGCUCCCUGCUGAUUUUUCUACACCCAGUAAAGCAGCUGAUAGAGCUAAAAAGACUCCAGUACGUGCUAAAAAGGCAUAUAAGAUUUAUUUUAUUUAUAAUAAUUUCUAAGAAUACUUCAGUGUAGUCUCUUUUCUCUUCUUUAAAAACUGUAGCUAUGGAAAUAAUUUAUGUGCAAACAAUUCACAUCUAAAAAAAAAAGAAAAGUGGGGAAAUAAGAAAAGGAUUACAUUUGUUAAACUUGAUAUUUAUUGUCCACAUGUGCAUUUUAACCAAGCAGCUAGUAAGGUCAGCUAAACAAUUGAAUGUUCUGUGCAAAUAAAUGCUGGUGUAAGUAGUUCUUGAUGCCUUUA
RNAcentral lists this long non-coding RNA (1191 nucleotides) under Cyanistes caeruleus (blue tit). Its description in RNAcentral is "lncRNA (ENSCCEG00000002955.1)". Lineage: Eukaryota; Metazoa; Chordata; Aves; Passeriformes; Paridae. The record is from RNAcentral.